AAAGUCGUAACAAGGUUUCCGUAGGUGAACCUGCGGAAGGAUCAUUAUUGAAUAAAUCUGGCGUUAGGUUGUAGCUGGCUCUCAGGAGCAUGUGCACACCUCGUCACCUUUAUCUUUCCACCUGUGCACACACUGUAGUCCUGGAUACCUCUCGCCGAAAGGCGGAUGCGGAGCCUGCUGUGACUUUGGAAACAAAGGCCGGCUUGCUCUGAAUUUCCAGGUCUACGAUUUUUAUACACCCCUAAACGAAUGUUAUAGAAUGUAAUAUCACUGGGCCUAUGUGCCUAUAAACCUUAUACAACUUUCAACAACGGAUCUCUUGGCUCUC
RNAcentral lists this unclassified non-coding RNA (328 nucleotides) under Basidiomycota sp. Its description in RNAcentral is "partial contains small subunit ribosomal RNA, internal transcribed spacer 1, and 5.8S ribosomal RNA". The stretch from base 1 to 47 matches the Rfam family "Eukaryotic small subunit ribosomal RNA", at positions 1785 to 1831 of the family's 1831-position model. The record is from RNAcentral. Lineage: Eukaryota; Fungi; Basidiomycota.